GACGAACGCUGGCGGCGUGCCUAAUACAUGCAAGUAGAACGCUGAAGGAGGAGCUUGCUUCUCUGGAUGAGUUGCGAACGGGUGAGUAACGCGUAGGUAACCUGCCUGGUAGCGGGGGAUAACUAUUGGAAACGAUAGCUAAUACCGCAUAAGAGUAGAUGUUGCAUGACAUUUGCUUAAAAGGUGCAAUUGCAUCACUACCAGAUGGACCUGCGUUGUAUUAGCUAGUUGGUGGGGUAACGGCUCACCAAGGCGACGAUACAUAGCCGACCUGAGAGGGUGAUCGGCCACACUGGGACUGAGACACGGCCCAGACUACUACGGGAGGCAGCAGUAGGGAAUCUUCGGCAAUGGACGGAAGUCUGACCGAGCAACGCCGCGUGAGUGAAGAAGGUUGUCGGAUCGUAAAGCUCUGUUGUAAGAGAAGAACGAGUGUGAGAGUGGAAAGUUCACACUGUGACGGUAUCUUACCAGAAAGGGACGGCUAACUACGUG
Molecule: ribosomal RNA, 495 nt
Filed under: uncultured bacterium
Lineage: Bacteria
Description: partial 16S ribosomal RNA
Rfam family: Bacterial small subunit ribosomal RNA
Source: RNAcentral